Molecule: ribosomal RNA, 452 nt
Filed under: uncultured bacterium
Lineage: Bacteria
Description: bacterial SSU rRNA
Rfam family: Bacterial small subunit ribosomal RNA
Source: RNAcentral
AACGAACGCUGGCGGCAGGCUUAACACAUGCAAGUCGAGCGCCCUGCUUGCAGGGAGCGGCAGACGGGUGAGUAACACGUGGGAACCUACCCAUCUCUACGGAACAACUCCGGGAAACUGGAGCUAAUACCGUAUACGUCCUUCGGGAGAAAGAUUUAUCGGAGAUGGAUGGGCCCGCGCCGGAUUAGCUAGUUGGUGGGGUAAAGGCCUACCAAGGCGACGAUCCGUAGCUGGUCUGAGAGGAUGAUCAGCCACACUGGGACUGAGACACGGCCCAGACUCCUACGGGAGGCAGCAGUGGGGAAUAUUGGACAAUGGGCGCAAGCCUGAUCCAGCCAUGCCGCGUGAGUGAUGAAGGCCCUAGGGUUGUAAAGCUCUUUCACCGGUGAAGAUAAUGACGGUAACCGGAGAAGAAGCCCCGGCUAACUUCGUGCCAGCCGCCGCCGUAACAC